UACGUAGGUGGCAAGCGUUGUCCGGAUUUAUUGGGCGUAAAGCGCGCGCAGGUGGUUUCUUAAGUCUGAUGUGAAAGCCCCCGGCUCAACCGGGGAGGGUCAUUGGAAACUGGGAGACUUGAGUGCAGAAGAGGUAAGUGGAAUUUCUAGUGGAGCGGUGAAAUGCGUAGAUAUUAGAAGGAACACCAGUGGCGAAGGCGGCUUACUGGGCCUGCACUGACGCUCAUGCACGAAAGCGUGGGGAGCAAACAGG
This 253-nucleotide ribosomal RNA is filed under the name uncultured bacterium. Its description in RNAcentral is "partial 16S ribosomal RNA". It matches the Rfam family "Bacterial small subunit ribosomal RNA", at positions 524 to 776 of the family's 1533-position model. The record is from RNAcentral.